RNAcentral lists this ribosomal RNA (612 nucleotides) under Escherichia coli. Its description in RNAcentral is "partial 23S ribosomal RNA". It matches the Rfam family "Bacterial large subunit ribosomal RNA", at positions 1293 to 1890 of the family's 2925-position model. Lineage: Bacteria; Pseudomonadati; Pseudomonadota; Gammaproteobacteria; Enterobacterales; Enterobacteriaceae. The record is from RNAcentral.
AAUGCUGACAUAAGUAACGAUAAAGCGGGUGAAAAGCCCGCUCGCCGGAAGACCAAGGGUUCCUGUCCAACGUUAAUCGGGGCAGGGUGAGUCGACCCCUAAGGCGAGGCCGAAAGGCGUAGUCGAUGGGAAACAGGUUAAUAUUCCUGUACUUGGUGUUACUGCGAAGGGGGGACGGAGAAGGCUAUGUUGGCCGGGCGACGGUUGUCCCGGUUUAAGCGUGUAGGCUGGUUUUCCAGGCAAAUCCGGAAAAUCAAGGCUGAGGCGUGAUGACGAGGCACUACGGUGCUGAAGCAACAAAUGCCCUGCUUCCAGGAAAAGCCUCUAAGCAUCAGGUAACAUCAAAUCGUACCCCAAACCGACACAGGUGGUCAGGUAGAGAAUACCAAGGCGCUUGAGAGAACUCGGGUGAAGGAACUAGGCAAAAUGGUGCCGUAACUUCGGGAGAAGGCACGCUGAUAUGUAGGUGAAGUCCCUCGCGGAUGGAGCUGAAAUCAGUCGAAGAUACCAGCUGGCUGCAACUGUUUAUUAAAAACACAGCACUGUGCAAACACGAAAGUGGACGUAUACGGUGUGACGCCUGCCCGGUGCCGGAAGGUUAAUUGAUGGGGU